This 542-nucleotide ribosomal RNA is filed under the name Lactarius citrinus. RNAcentral's name for it is "LSU rRNA". It matches the Rfam family "Eukaryotic large subunit ribosomal RNA", at positions 85 to 636 of the family's 3401-position model. Lineage: Eukaryota; Fungi; Basidiomycota; Agaricomycetes; Russulales; Russulaceae. The record is from RNAcentral.
AACUGCGAGUGAAGCGGGAAAAGCUCAAAUUUAAAAUCUGGCGGUCUUUGGCUGUCCGAGUUGUAAUUUAGAGAAGCGUCUUCCGCGCCGGACCGUGCACAAGUCUCCUGGAAUGGAGCGUCAUAGAGGGUGAGAAUCCCGUCUUUGGCACGGAUGCCUGGUGCUUCUGUGAUGCGCUCUCGAAGAGUCGAGUUGUUUGGGAAUGCAGCUCAAAAUGGGUGGUGAACUCCAUCUAAAGCUAAAUAUUGGCGAGAGACCGAUAGCGAACAAGUACCGUGAGGGAAAGAUGAAAAGCACUUUGGAAAGAGAGUGAAACAGUACGUGAAAUUGUUGAAAGGGAAACGCUUGAAGUCAGUCGCGUCGACCGAGACUCAGCCUUGCCUUGGCUUGGUGUACUUCUCGGCCCGACGGGUCAGCAUCAAUUUUGUCCCUCGGAUAAUGGCAAGGGAAAGGUGGCACCUUCACGGGUGUGUUAUAGUCUCCUGUCGCAUGCGAGGGGUGGGAUUGAGGAACUCAGCGCGCACCUCGGUGCCGGGGCUUUG